GACGAACGCUGGCGGCGUGCCUAAUACAUGCAAGUCGAGCGCAGGAAGCCGUCUGAACCCUUCGGGGGGACGACGGUGGAAUGAGCGGCGGACGGGUGAGUAACACGUAAAGAACCUGCCCAUAGGUCUGGGAUAACCACGAGAAAUCGGGGCUAAUACCGGAUGUGUCAUCGGACCGCAUGGUCCGCUGAUGAAAGGCGCUCCGGGGUCGCCCAUGGAUGGCUUUGCGGUGCAUUAGCUAGUUGGUGGGGUAACGGCCCACCAAGGCGACGAUGCAUAGCCGACCUGAGAGGGUGAUCGGCCACACUGGGACUGAGACACGGCCCAGACUCCUACGGGAGGCAGCAGUAGGGAAUCUUCCACAAUGGACGAAAGUCUGAUGGAGCAACGCCGCGUGAACGAUGAAGGCUUUCGGGUCGUAAAGUUCUGUUGUAAGGGAAGAACAAGUGCCGCAGGCAAUGGCGGCACCUUGACGGUACCUUGCGAGAAAGCCACGGCUAACUACGUGCCAGCCGCCGCAGUAA
Molecule: ribosomal RNA, 524 nt
Filed under: uncultured bacterium
Lineage: Bacteria
Description: partial 16S ribosomal RNA
Rfam family: Bacterial small subunit ribosomal RNA
Source: RNAcentral